Molecule: ribosomal RNA, 497 nt
Filed under: uncultured bacterium
Lineage: Bacteria
Description: partial 16S ribosomal RNA
Rfam family: Bacterial small subunit ribosomal RNA
Source: RNAcentral
GAUGAACGCUGGCGGCGUGCCUAAUACAUGCAAGUCGAGCGAACAGACGAGGAGCUUGCUCCUCUGACGUUAGCGGCGGACGGGUGAGUAACACGUGGAUAACCUACCUAUAAGACUGGGAUAACUUCGGGAAACCGGAGCUAAUACCGGAUAAUAUAUUGAACCGCAUGGUUCAAUAGUGAAAGACGGUUUUGCUGUCACUUAUAGAUGGAUCCGCGCCGCAUUAGCUAGUUGGUAAGGUAACGGCUUACCAAGGCAACGAUGCGUAGCCGACCUGAGAGGGUGAACCGCCACAACGGGAACUGAGCCCGGGUCCAAAUCCUAAGGGGGGGCAGAGUGGGGGAAUCUGCCGAAAGGGGGGAAAGCCGGCCGGGGCAACGCCGGGGGGUUGAAGAGGGUCUCGGGUUCGAAAACCCUUUUUUUUAGGGAAAAAAAAAGGGGUAAGUAACUAUGCCGUUCUUGAGGGUACCAAAUCAGAAGGCCGGGGUAAAUUAGGG